RNAcentral lists this ribosomal RNA (492 nucleotides) under uncultured bacterium. RNAcentral's name for it is "partial 16S ribosomal RNA". It matches the Rfam family "Bacterial small subunit ribosomal RNA", at positions 29 to 507 of the family's 1533-position model. The record is from RNAcentral.
AGUGAACGCUGGCGGUAGGCCUAACACAUGCAAGUCGAACGGCAGCACAGUAAGAGCUUGCUCUUACGGGUGGCGAGUGGCGGACGGGUGAGGAAUACAUCGGAAUCUACUUUUUCGUGGGGGAUAACGUAGGGAAACUGACGCUAAUACCGCAUACGACCUACGGGUGAAAGCAGGGGAUCUUCGGACCUUGCGCGAUUGAAUGAGCCGAUGUCGGAUUAGCGAGUUGGCGGGGUAAAGGCCCACCAAGGCGACGAUCCGUAGCUGGUCUGAGAGGAUGAUCAGCCACACUGCAACUGAGACACGGUCCAGACUCCUCCGGGAGGCAGCAGUGGGGACUAUUGGACAAUGGGCGCAAGCCUGAUCCAGCCAUACCGCGUGGGUGAAGCAGGCCUUCGGGUUCUAAAGCCCUUUUGUUGGGAAAGAAAAGCAGCAGGUUAAUACCCCGCUGUUCUGACGGUACCCAAAGAAUAAGCACCGGCUAACUUCGUG